AUGGGCGCAAGCCUGAUGCAGCGACGCCGCGUGAGGGAUGACGGCCUUCGGGUUGUAAACCUCUUUCACCAGGGACGAAGCGAAAGUGACGGUACCUGGAGAAGAAGCACCGGCCAACUACGUGCCAGCAGCCGCGGUAAUACGUAGGGUGCGAGCGUUGUCCGGAAUUACUGGGCGUAAAGAGCUCGUAGGCGGUUUGUCGCGUCGUUCGUGAAAACUUGGGGCUUAACUCCAAGCGUGCGGGCGAUACGGGCAGACUUGAGUACUACAGGGGAGACUGGAAUUCCUGGUGUAGCGGUGAAAUGCGCAGAUAUCAGGAGGAACACCGGUGGCGAAGGCGGGUCUCUGGGUAGUAACUGACGCUGAGGAGCGAAAGCGUGGGUAGCGAACAGGAUUAGAUACCCUGGUAGUCCACGCCGUAAACGGUGGGUACUAGGUGUGGGUUCCUUUUCACGGGAUCCGUGCCGUAACUAACGCAUUAAGUACC
This 487-nucleotide ribosomal RNA is filed under the name Williamsia muralis. Its description in RNAcentral is "bacterial SSU rRNA". It matches the Rfam family "Bacterial small subunit ribosomal RNA", at positions 371 to 868 of the family's 1533-position model. The record is from RNAcentral. Lineage: Bacteria; Bacillati; Actinomycetota; Actinomycetes; Mycobacteriales; Nocardiaceae.